GCAAUUUUUGAAAAUAUGCCCCCUCUCUCCACAAAGGUUACAGUUUACCGGAUCCUGGCAGUCCUUAGUUAAGUGUCCAUAUUUACUCCGGCAUUCUACUGAAAGGAGUUGCUGGGAACCACACCUACGGCAGGUCUAAGGCUGGCCCGGGUAGAAAACGUAGCCUCUUAUUGCUCCCAGCUGAAUCACCGGUGGCAAAUGAUAGGUCUAGUACAAUUCUUUCCUGUUGCUAAAUUUUUCUUCAAUUGUAUAAAGAAGCGUCUGCCGCCAGUCCUGACCCCGUCCUCGUCUUUUAAUCCGUAUCCUUGUUUCACUGUCCAUCUUUAUUGUAGCCAAGUUCCAAUGUCCUCCAUCCGAACUUGUUCAGAAAACAUAAGUACUGUGAUUGUCUUAGGCUCCAUUUGCGAGAGAGAAGUCAUCUCUGUAUUGGCUAAUUGAGGUCUCGUCUCUUUCAGUCUUCCAAACGAUCCCAAACAUUUUCCCUAAAAAGUAUUAGUGGUAAAUAUUACCUCACAGGUUCUUUUUCCCAGCAGAGCAAAAAUAUAGUCCAUUUGCACAGGUAAAAUUCCGAGUUCCUUUUGCGAGAUGAGACGACUGAACUGAAGUCUGUCCAUUUCCAUAUCAUUUUUAGAUCAAAUCUCACUGCGUUCCUACGGGAACCAGACAUGGGCAGGGACGAAGCCAUCUUUCUCACACAUGGUAUCUCCCCUGCUAGCCCUCCAAAAGGCAAACAUUGGUGACUCAGGAGAGUCUGUGCCAUCUGAAGAGCUCCCUGAAGAUGACCUAUCAUCUGAGGAGCCACCAAAAGUUACUAUAUCCCUCUCAGUACUGAAGGGAUAUUCAGAGUUCCCAGUACAAAUCCUUCAGUACAUGCAGGAAUACUGGAUCCAUUUGAAGGGCUCCAUGGGCACAAUAAAACAGCAUGAAAACCAAAAAUCAAAGGUUGGAAGAGUAACGUUGUUCCUUAAAUUCCUAACCGAGGGGAAGACUGUCUUAGGAAAUUGGACGUUCCUUGAGAACGUAGGGAGAGUUCAUGAGUGGCCGGAACAUCUCUUCAGACAAGGGAAGGCCAUCACCACCAUAAAAUUGUACCUUGUCAACAUCUCAGGGUUUCUCAGCUACUUUCGGGACACGCCACCAUCAACCUCGCGUGUCCCAAGGAAGUGUAUGGUGUCAGUCCUUAGAGCCCAGUCCUCGGACUUGAGGAAACUGUCGAGGCGCGUCGUCCUCCGCCAGCUCCAAGUUAAAAGGGGAAAAGUCAGCAGGUUGAUCCCCAAGGUGGACCUCAGAAAAAGGCACGGCGCAUGAUCCCCAGGUUGCUCGACACCAUCGAGACUACGCCUAGCCAAAACAACAUACACCGGUUCUAUGGCUACUUCAGCGCUUACCUGUCGAGCAUCUAUGGCCAUAGGACCGGUGUUUUAACCAAUAUGUCAUUGCCUAAAGUGGGUGAGGCACAUACAGAGGCAAAGUCUGGAGAACAAGGAUUUGUCAUCAAUGUAACUGUAAUGAUUUUGCACUUAUAAUUAAACACUUGAUAGAUCUACCUGAGUGCCUGCCAUUCAGGAUAAUUUACAGGUUAUCCUGUAUGUCAGGCAACAUACCCUCUCAUUUGGCACUAAGGUGAAAGAGCACAAGACAAAUCAUUCUUUUGGGCCUGCCCAGGCAUAUCUGACAGUGCAGGAGUUCGGUUGGCUGGAGCAAUGGCUCCAAGUCAGGGAAAAACUGCAGCCAUCCACCAACCUGGUGUUUUUUAAUGAAAGCAACCAGAAAAUUACCAACUUACAGCAGCACCUGCAGAGUGCGUGGGCAGAGAUGGGGUUUUCCAGGCGCCCCACAUUUACAGAUUUCCGCAACUCGAUUGCCACAUAUGCCAAAAAUGUACUGUCUACAGGCACAAGGAGCAAAGUUUCAAAGACAAUGUGUCAUGACCCUGCAACAGCAGACAUGUUCUACGCAAUGAGCCAAACUGCAGAACAUCUGGCGGAGCUGCGCAUUAAAUUCCAGCAGGUCACCGACCCAGAUGCCCCAGGUUCUGCGGACCCUCCUCUCCUCAUGCUGUCUGAGUCAUCGAGCAAGGGUUAGGGGGAGGAGCCUUUAAAGAAACGGAGGAGACUAGAACCUGAGGAACCAGACCAGUCGGAUGGAAGUCAUCCGUCAUCUGGCCAGGGUGAUGCCACCACCCAGGACACCCAGGGCACACCAUUGACUGUUUAUACUGAUCCAAAAAGAGUAUCUUCGAUCUCCCAAAAAGCAGCCCAUUGAUGGCAUACAGGCUGCACCAAAGAUUUCUGAGGCACAUCCCUCAAAAACGUGUUUCAUUCAAGGAGGCAGAAGAAGUAGUUUAGUUUGAAUCUUUUCAUUUUCUUGUUUUCAA
Gambusia affinis (western mosquitofish) is the source of this 2377-nucleotide long non-coding RNA. RefSeq lists it as uncharacterized. The transcript is spliced from 7 exons. Lineage: Eukaryota; Metazoa; Chordata; Actinopteri; Cyprinodontiformes; Poeciliidae. The record is from RefSeq and is a predicted model, not a curated record.